GCCUUCGUGGUGUAAUGGGCAAGCACACUCGGCGCGUAUUCGACAGGUCCGAGGUUCGAAUCCCGGCGAGAGCA
This 74-nucleotide transfer RNA is filed under the name Stegodyphus mimosarum. It matches the Rfam family "tRNA". Rfam says of the family: Transfer RNA (tRNA) molecules are approximately 80 nucleotides in length. Their secondary structure includes four short double-helical elements and three loops (D, anti-codon, and T loops). The record is from Rfam by way of RNAcentral. Lineage: Eukaryota; Metazoa; Arthropoda; Arachnida; Araneae; Eresidae.